UUCGGGGUACACGAGUGGCGAACGGGUGAGUAACACGUGAGUAACCUGCCCCGGACUCUGGGAUAAGCAUUCGAAAGGGUGUCUAAUACUGGAUAGGACUCCUGCCUGCAUGGGUGGGGGUGGAAAGAUUUUUUGGUUCGGGAUGGGCUCGCGGCCUAUCAGCUUGUUGGUGGGGUGAUGGCCUACCAAGGCGUCGACGGGUAGCCGGCCUGAGAGGGCGACCGGCCACACUGGGACUGAGAUACGGCCCAGACUCCUACGGGAGGCAGCAGUGGGGAAUAUUGCGCAAUGGGCGGAAGCCUGACGCAGCAACGCCGCGUGCGGGAUGACGGCCUUCGGGUUGUAAACCGCUUUCACCCAUGACGAAAAUUUUUUUGACGGUAGUGGGAGAAGAAGCACCGGCCAACUACGUGCCAGCAGCCGCGGUGAUACGUAGGGUGCGAGCGUUGUCCGGAAUUAUUGGGCGUAAAGAGCUUGUAGGCGGUUUGUCGCGUCGGAAGUGAAAACUCGGGGCUUAACUUCGAGCUUGCUUCCGAUACGGGCUGACUAGAGGAAGUUAGGGGAGAACGGAAUUCCUGGUGGAGCGGUGGAAUGCGCAAAUNUCAGGAGGAACACCGGUGGCGAAGGC
RNAcentral lists this ribosomal RNA (628 nucleotides) under uncultured Actinomycetes bacterium. RNAcentral's name for it is "bacterial SSU rRNA". It matches the Rfam family "Bacterial small subunit ribosomal RNA", at positions 81 to 722 of the family's 1533-position model. Lineage: Bacteria; Bacillati; Actinomycetota; Actinomycetes. The record is from RNAcentral.